CUGCCCCUAGCCACAAAAUUACAUUGGUGUGUGAGCUGUUGGCCUGAUGUCUACCCAUGUUCUUCUUUCUCCUGAUUUUCCUCACUCCCUUUCAUUUUUUCCCUGUUAUUUUCUCUUUUUCUCUGAAUUCCCAUCAUCUCAGUUUCACUCUCCUUCUCCUCUUCCUCUCCAUCAAUUUUAAUCUCUUUCUUUUGAUUUUAUUUUUUUGCAGGCUAAUGAGUUUAGGAGUAAGGGAAAGCUAUAAGAUAAGGUGAAUAGCUAAUUGAUGGUUAGUUGUGCGUGAAAAUUGAUUGGAAGUUUUCGAGAAAUGUCGACCUCUUGAUCGAUUUGCUUGCUUGAAUUCUGGUUGAGGCUGUUUGUGGGAUAUAUAGGGAGGUGAUUCUUAGGAAAUUGAAUUGGCCGUCCACCCCGGUUCGAUCCAUGGUUGGGAUGAUGUUGUUAAGGAGGCUGAGGACGAGGUGAAUAUAAAGAAGGAGCUGAAUCAAGAAUUUCCAAGGAGAAGGUUGUUGAGAAUGAAGAUGAGGAUGAGGAGGAUGAUGCCUUUGCAGCAUUCUUUUUGUUAGAAAACAGAUUAAAACACUAACCUGGUUGCUUUUAUGUGUUUGUUUACAUUUACAUGCUGCUGUUAGUAAUUUUGUAUGAUUGAUUUUGAAGCUCAUAGAUAUCAAAGUAUGUGUUUGUUGAA
Chenopodium quinoa (quinoa) is the source of this 685-nucleotide long non-coding RNA. RefSeq lists it as uncharacterized. NCBI's taxonomy places the organism in Eukaryota, Viridiplantae, Streptophyta, Magnoliopsida, Caryophyllales, Amaranthaceae. The record is from RefSeq and is a predicted model, not a curated record. The transcript is spliced from 2 exons.